Molecule: ribosomal RNA, 356 nt
Filed under: uncultured bacterium
Lineage: Bacteria
Description: bacterial SSU rRNA
Rfam family: Bacterial small subunit ribosomal RNA
Source: RNAcentral
AGAGUUUGAUCCUGGCUCAGGAUGAACGCUAGCUACAGGCUUAACACAUGCAAGUCGAGGGGAAACGACAUCGAAAGCUUGCUUUUGAUGGGCGUCGACCGGCGCACGGGUGAGUAACGCGUAUCCAACCUGCCCACCACUUGGGGAUAACCUUGCGAAAGUAAGACUAAUACCCAAUGACGUCUCUAGAAGACAUCUGAAAGAGAUUAAAGAUUUAUCGGUGAUGGAUGGGGAUGCGUCUGAUUAGCUUGUUGGCGGGGUAACGGCCCACCAAGGCGACGAUCAGUAGGGGUUCUGGAGAGGAAGGGUCCCCCACACUUGGAACUGAGACACGGUCCAAACUCCUACGGGAGGCA